CCCUUAGAUGUUCUGGGCCGCACGCGCGCUACACUGUUCGACGCAGCGAGUCUUAACCUUGACCGAAAGGUUUGGGUAAUCUUCAGCAAAGUCGAACGUGAUGGGGAUCGAUCAUUGCAAUUAUUGAUCGUGAACGAGGAAUUCCUAGUAAGUGCAAGUCAUCAGCUUGCGCUGAUUACGUCCCUGCCCUUUGUACACACCGCCCGUCGCUACUACCGAUUGAAUGGUUUAGUGAGAUCUCUGGAUUGACGCUGGCUAGGGGGCGACCCUUGGCCAGACUGUUGAGAAACUACUCAAACUUGAUCAUUGAGAGGAAGUAAAAGUCGUAACA
RNAcentral lists this ribosomal RNA (331 nucleotides) under uncultured eukaryote. Its description in RNAcentral is "partial 18S ribosomal RNA". It matches the Rfam family "Eukaryotic small subunit ribosomal RNA", at positions 1470 to 1796 of the family's 1831-position model. The record is from RNAcentral.